GCUGGGUGUGGUGGCCCAUGCCUUUAGUCCCACCACUCAGGAGGCAGAGGCAGGCAGACCUCUGUGAGAUCAAGGCCAGCCUGGUCUACAUAGCAAGUUCUAGGCCAGCUAGGGCUACAGGGAGACCCUGUCUCAAUAAGACAAAGGAAAAAAAAAUAGAGAGAGUCUCAACCCUGCAGCCCCAGCUGGCCUGGAACUUGCUAUGUAGACCAGGCUGGCCUCGAACUCACAGAGUUCUGCCUGCCUCU
RNAcentral lists this small RNA (248 nucleotides) under Nannospalax galili (Upper Galilee mountains blind mole rat). Its description in RNAcentral is "Metazoan signal recognition particle RNA (ENSNGAG00000008538.1)". The record is from RNAcentral. Lineage: Eukaryota; Metazoa; Chordata; Mammalia; Rodentia; Spalacidae.